Molecule: ribosomal RNA, 408 nt
Filed under: uncultured bacterium
Lineage: Bacteria
Description: bacterial SSU rRNA
Rfam family: Bacterial small subunit ribosomal RNA
Source: RNAcentral
UGGCCUUGACAUAGAUAGAACAUAACAGAGAUGUAUUGGUGCUAGUUUACUAGAACUAUUAUACAGGUGCUGCACGGCUGUCGUCAGCUCGUGUCGUGAGAUGUUGGGUUAAGUCCCGCAACGAGCGCAACCCACGUGAUUAGUUGCUAACAGUUCGGCUGAGAACUCUAAUCAGACUGCCUGGGUAACCAGGAGGAAGGUGUGGACGACGUCAAGUCAUCAUGGCCCUUACGGCCAGGGCUACACACGUGCUACAAUGGGGUAUACAAAGAGCUGCAAUAUCGCGAGAUGGAGCAAAUCUUCAAAAUAUCUCCCAGUUCGGAUAGCAGUCUGCAACUCGACUGCUUGAAGUUGGAAUCGCUAGUAAUCGUAGAUCAGCAAUGCUACGGUGAAUACGUUCCCGGGUCU